Long non-coding RNA from Mytilus trossulus (common blue mussel), 567 nucleotides. RefSeq lists it as uncharacterized. The record is from RefSeq and is a predicted model, not a curated record. The transcript has 3 exons. Lineage: Eukaryota; Metazoa; Mollusca; Bivalvia; Mytilida; Mytilidae.
CCAUGAUGAAAUUGACAUUGCAUAAAAUACAGAAAUCAACGACAACGGAAGCCCGCAAUGAACGGUGUUUUAAUCUUUUGCUGACGACAACUUCCAAAUCUACUCAGGACCAGGAUUCUUUAAGGGAAAAAGAAAUCUUCAUAGGGAUAUAUAGAUAAAUGGAUCCACAGAACUCUGUAGCUCACCUGCAGUUGCUGCUGUUAGUGUAAAAGUGUGAUGUUGACUUUAAAAAUUUCAGCAACAGAAUGAAGAAUUCCAAGAGUCUAAUACGGUUUAUUUAACAGGAUUUUAUCAUUGAAUCUACAUCCUACAAGACUAUAACAUACAAAUAAAUGAAAGAAUCCAUGGAUACUUAUAGUAAUUAUGUGCAGGGGAGAACAUUUAAACAAUACUGUAAGAGACAUACAGUGGUGUUUUUUAAAGAGACCGAAGGAACCUGUAAUAACUUGCCAUGAGUGUAUAUUUUCCAAACUAGACGCUCGUUCAUAAUAAUAUACAAUUUAAAUUAAAAUUAGUGUAUGAACAUUACAGAUAAAUUCUAAAAAGAGAAAAUUUAUUUUUAAAUGA